This 2515-nucleotide long non-coding RNA is filed under the name Theobroma cacao (cacao). Its description in RNAcentral is "long non-coding RNA (TCAC_LNC003025)". Lineage: Eukaryota; Viridiplantae; Streptophyta; Magnoliopsida; Malvales; Malvaceae. The record is from RNAcentral.
AUAAACAAAAGUAAAGAGGAUUGUGAACCUACGGUUUGGAAAAUGCAGAUCCAACGGUAGUCCUCGAUGAGAUCAACUAUCUACAGUCUAUACUGAACCUGAAAUGGGGGGAAAGGAGGGUGGUGAGAUUAUAAAAUCCCAAUGAGUAAACAGAUAUCAUCAUAAACAUCUAGAGUUGAGUACAUGGAGAUAAUAAAGUAAAUCAUCGUAAAUUGGGUCACAGCAUUAGAAUACAUUUAAUUUAAAAUACAUAAAAAGGCUUAUGAAUCUCAUAAAAACUAGGCUUAUGCCUUAAAUCCAUUCUUAGGGACACCUUGGCUGAGGCAUCCUACCUAGACCGUCAAGGCUAUUAAAAUUCACAUUUCACAUAAAUCAUGUUUUUGUUUUGAAAACAUAGGCAUUCCUUGGCAUUGGCUGAGUUCCCCCUCACGUGGUUGCUUGGCGUGAAGUGAACCCUAAGCUUUACCCCAGGAGAUACCCUACAUGCCUCUCCGUUCGAGGUAAGAAUAUAAUGGGGUUUACUACGCCCCUCUAAAAGGCUGGUCCACAGAAACCCCUUACUGUAGUGAUUAAUUAAUAUAUAAUCCACCAUACAAUAAAACUCAAUAACAUGAUAUGGCAAUUUUAUGAUUUGCAGUCUUUCAAGGCAACCAAACAAUUCGUAUUUCAAUACAAUUGCCAACUAGCCAAUCAUGCCCAAUUUAUCAUAAGCCAAUCAAUUUAAACAAUUAAAUUGUCACAAUUAACAGUCUCCGUGUACUCUAUUUUUCAAAAUCAUUAUUAAUUUCAAAACAAUUUAUAAAUUAAUUUCAUUGAAACACAUUUAUUCAUAAAACAUGAAAAUUUACCAUUUUAAAUUCCUUUUUCCAUGGAAUUCAUGAAAUCAUCUAAAAACCACCCUAGAUAAUUAAAAUGACAGUAAGUUUACUCACAAUGUCUAGAAUGCAGACUUUCAAAGCACUUUGUCUAUUGGUCCUCGGAUGCAAUUUCCUUGCCUUUAUCGGAGGACUCACCACCUUAACACAGUACAAAAUCGAAAAAUUCACCAAAUUGGUACUAAAUUGAAAUUAAACUAAUUUAGACUAUUAAUGCAUAAUAUGGAAUGCAAAAAAUGCACUGGUAACUAUCUAAACUCAGUAUUGGCCUAAUUCAUCUUAUCAUCCGAUUAAAGUACUAACGCGUCCAAUUUAAUCCCAAAUUACUCCAAAUUGUUUCAAUUCUUUUCCAAUAUCUUAAUUCACCAAAUUCAAAUCAAAUAACCUAAAAUUUGGCAAAACUAUCUUCACUUUUGUUCUUAAAAUUUUCGGCCAAUAAUGGUGUAUUAACACCGUGAUUUUUCCUAUUACUUUUCCACACCAUAAUUCAUCAUUUCUUAACCAAUUCUCCUAGAAUAAAAAUCAAACUCAUGCUCACUCAAUACAUGGUAAAUUUGGCCAUUAAUGGUUGUGGGAGAAAAUAAAUUCUUUUUUUAUUGUUUUGUUUAUAAAUAUGCUAAACUAACUAAAAACACUAACACAACUUAAAAUCAAAUCAAUCCAACAACUUUCUCUCUCCUAACCCAUUUUGAUCAACCACCAAUUCAUCAUAAAAACAUUUAAUUUAAGCAUGGAAAAUAAGGAGAAAUGCUUAGGGACAAUAGAUUUCAAGCUUAAGUUGAAAAAUCCUACCUUUUUCACUUGUUUUCCUUGAUUUUCCACACUUUUUCUCUUGAAAUUCCUCACCUACGGUUUGUUCUUCCUUUCUUUCCCUCUCUUCCUUGCUUGGCCGAAUAUUUGGAGAGUAAUGGGCUGAUUUAUGCUGAUUUUUAUGUUAAAUAAUAAAUUAUCCAAGCUUGACACAUGGCAUUUUCUUAUUGGUCCAUUUUUAAAAUUUUUAAAAUUUAAACAUUUUAUCUCCAUCACAUGAGUAGUCAAAGGUCAAAAAUAAGGAUAAAGGAAGACCAUGUGCUGGAAAAUUGUCCUGGUGGUGGAAAAUUACAAUUUUGCCCCUAGGGUGGUAAAAUUACUUUUUUACCCCUAUACUCCAAAUUAUACCGAAAUUAAAAUUUUUCACUUUUAAACCUCAAAUCAUACUCCAAUACUCAAAUAAUACUCCAAUAAGUCAAAUGGGGCCAAAUAAAUCUUUUCUAAAAAUUACCAUUUUGUCCCCAGGUUGCAAAUGAUCAUUUUGCCCCUAGAUAGUGAAAAUUUCGAUUCGACUUCAAAUUGAUCCUCAAACUCUGAAUUACCAUUUUGAGUCAUCCUUGGACUAUGACGAUCUUAAUCUCACCUUAAAAUUCCUAUUUGAUCUAGUUUGAGGAUUAAAUCAACUUUGUUGUACCUCUAGGUACAAUACCGACUUUUGUAAAUUUUUCAGGACUUUCCUAGCAUGCAAUCAUGAUAUCAUCACAUGUAUGCCAUGACUAGUAUUUUAUAAGGCCGGGCUUUACAGCACCACCCCCCUUAAAAUAAAAUUUUGACCUCAAAAUUUCACUUACCGGAUUCGAAGAAAAGAUGUGGAUAUUGGUUUCUCAUCU